UACGAAGGGUGCAAACGUUGCUCGGAAUUAUUGGGCGUAAAGCGCGCGCAGGCGGUCCUUUAAGUCUGAUGUGAAAGCCCACGGCUCAACCGUGGAGGGUCAUUGGAAACUGGAGGACUUGAGUACAGAAGAGGAAAGCGGAAUUCCACGUGUAGCGGUGAAAUGCGUAGAGAUGUGGAGGAACACCAGUGGCGAAGGCGGCUUUCUGGUCUGUAACUGACGCUGAGGCGCGAAAGCGUGGGGAGCAAACAGG
Molecule: ribosomal RNA, 253 nt
Filed under: uncultured bacterium
Lineage: Bacteria
Description: partial 16S ribosomal RNA
Rfam family: Bacterial small subunit ribosomal RNA
Source: RNAcentral